This 85-nucleotide ribosomal RNA is filed under the name Vibrio parahaemolyticus. RNAcentral describes it as "partial 16S ribosomal RNA". The stretch from base 1 to 76 matches the Rfam family "Bacterial small subunit ribosomal RNA", at positions 1458 to 1533 of the family's 1533-position model. The record is from RNAcentral. Lineage: Bacteria; Pseudomonadati; Pseudomonadota; Gammaproteobacteria; Vibrionales; Vibrionaceae.
CACUUUGUGGUUCAUGACUGGGGUGAAGUCGUAACAAGGUAGCGCUAGGGGAACCUGGCGCUGGAUCACCUCCUUAAACGAUGAU